Ictalurus punctatus (channel catfish) is the source of this 7670-nucleotide long non-coding RNA. NCBI's taxonomy places the organism in Eukaryota, Metazoa, Chordata, Actinopteri, Siluriformes, Ictaluridae. The record is from Ensembl.
CAUCUUUUAAAUAGUCGUUUAAUAAUGUGAAACCGUGAUCAUUUUACAUCUGGUUAUCAUACCGAACACCCAAGUUACAUCUAGCAACAAAUCUCAGAACAACUGACUGUUUCAGUUUACUUAUUUAAUCAGACUGUUUAAGUCAGUUCAGCACUCACAUAACCCAAACUCUGAUGAAAUUUUCCAGCUUCCAACAUUCACAAGUCACGUGUAUAAAACAGAUCUAUUCUUUCCGCUGCUACUUAACUGGAUAGCUAAGCUAAUUUUAGUAAAAGGCUGCGUAUAUUCACCCUUUCUGAAGAGAUUUAAGCUCUACACGUUGCCUCUCUGGCUUGAGUCAGCAGUUUACCGGCCAUUGAGCAGUUUAUCCAUGCGAGUUAAGUGAAGCGCACAUGGACUACAGACCUGUGAUUGUCCACAGACCCGCUCUGUUCAGGGCCCGGCUUGCACUGCGCAUGCGCUGUACAAAUCGGUUAGUGGCUUGAACACAUUCGGCUUACUACUCCCUACAAGUGCACUGUACGGUAGUAUAGAAUAAUGGUUUCUAGGCUCCAGGUAGUGCAAUACUACAUGUCAAACAGGAUGACAUUCACUACUUGCAGUUAUGUUGAGCAGCUAUCUGGCUGAGCUAUUAUUUUAUUACGCUGAGGCUACGUCUCAGACCGCACACUACAUACUAAAGAGUAUGUCAAAAAUAACCAUGACACCGUUGGCGUUGUUCAAAUUUGACAUAUUAUUUAGUAUAGUUGUUUGCGGUUUGGGACUCACCCUUGUGCCGAUGAAAUCAGUUAGCGGACGGGCUAGCGCAUGGCUCUGGGAGGAACAUGGACCCUUAAAGAACGAAAAACAACGUUGAUAACGCAAAUACGAAUUGUAACGAAAAGCUAUUUAGCAAAUAAAUGACUAAAAAAUACUACUUUCUGAUAUCUACAGCUAAGCUAACUGGGUAGCUACCACGCUAGCUGCCUAUUAACGCCAGGCCCUGUGUUGUUAGGGAAGCUAGCUACACUAGCCCAAUGGUGUUGAGUAAUAUUGUUAACUGAAAGUUAGUUUCUCUGUACACUGACCCAUGGAAACUGUCGGUCAUUUACACGCCGUUUCUUACCUGAGCAGAAUGUCAAGCGGCUUUUCUGUCUACAUUUCGGAGCAGGAGUUUCAGCAGCACCGCUCCGGCCGUCCAUAGCGGAGCUUAAAAAAAACCGCGCUUGUUUCUUUUUUUCUUCUUUUUUUUUGUCUGCUCGAGCUUCUAUCUGUAUCAUAGCAACCACAAACUAAACCUGCAGCACAAGCUGAACAUACACAACCUCUCAAUCACACCUGUCUAUAACCUGCUGUGGAAUUCAAAUAUUUUAUACAUAUAUAUGUUUAUAUAUAUAAUUUAUAUUGUCUGUGUAUAUAUAUAUAUAUGCUAGUGUGUGUGCCAGUUCAGCCGGUUUUUGGACUGGGGGAGGAAACCCCCGCAGCACAGGGAGAACAUGCAAAACAUGUUCAUGCAAACAGAACAUGCAAACUCCGCACACACAGCCCCGGCGGGAAUCGAACCCCGGACCCUGGAGGGGUGCGGCGAACAUGCUAACCACUAAGCCACUGUGCACACACGAUCAUAUAUGUAUAAUCAUACUGAUGGCUCACUGAUGCGCAUGGUUCGUGAAGGCUAACCCAUCUAGUACGAUACCACAGAAGAGCUACUUUAGCAUAAAUUGCUGAAAAAGUUCAUGCUGGCUAUGAUAUAAAGGUGUCAGAACGCAAAUCAUAUCAUAGCUUGCUGCGUAUGGGGCUGUGUAGCUGUAGACCGGUCAGAGUGCCCAUGCUGACCUCUGUCCACUGCCAUGGGCUUGUGAGCAUCAGAACUGGACCAUGGAGCAAUGGAAGAAGGUUGCCUGGUCUGAUGAAUCAUAUUUCCUUUUACAUCAUGUGGAUGUCUGGGUGUUUGUGCGUCGCUUACCUGUGGACUGGCUGGCACCAGGAUGCACUAUGGGAAGUAGACAAGCUGGCAGAGGCAGUGUGAUGCUCUGGGCAAUGCUCUGCUGGGAAAUUAGGUCCUGACAUUCAUCUGGAUGCUACUUUGACACGUAGCACCUAUGUAAACAUUGUAGCAGACCAAGUUCACCCCUUCAUGGCAAUGUUGUUCCCUAAUGGCAGUGGCCUCUUUUAGCAGGAUAAUACGCACUGCCACACUGCAAAAAUUGUUCAGGAAUGGUUUGAGGAACAUGACAAAGAGUUCAUGGUGUUGACUUGGCCUCUAAAUUCCCCAGAUCUUAAUCAGAUCGAGCAUCUGGGGGAUGUGCUGGAUAAACAAGGCUGAUCCAUGGAAGCCCCACUUCACAACUUACAGGACUUAAGGGAUCUGCUGCUAACAUCUUGCUGCCAGAUACCACAGCACACCUUCACAGGUCUUGUGGAGUCCAUGCCUCGACAGGUCAGAGCUGUUUUGGCGGCAUAAGGUGGACCUACACAAUAUUAGGCAGGUGGUUUUAAUGUUAUGGCUGAUUGGUGUAUAGCAUGUCAUCUGGAAUGAAUAAAUAAAUGUUUCACUUGUGUAACACACUGCACCCAGUGAGACACUUUACUUAGUGGCAAUUAAAGUUUGUUAGUAUUGUGCCUCUUUCUGGUUCUAGUUUGUAAAAAAUCACGCAGGUCAAGUGAAGCCCUUAACAGCACACUAUAAAAUGUCUGAAAACAUCUUCAAGCUAUUUUCUGUUGGAUAACAGGAAUAAAAGCUUGUUUAGACUUUAAUCUGAUAAGCAAUUAAUUCGCAAUAAACGGAAUUUAAACAUUUAUUUACAUAAAGGCAAACCAUACAUCUCUAUAGGCUAUUCGUUAACCUUUACUAUUAAACGCCAUAAAGCUGAGCACUUUCAUGUGGACUGCAGCUGUCAGUGCACCUGAAAACUGCUGGCCAUAUGAAAUGAUGGCAUCUGAGUGACAGGUAAGAUAAUCAGCCCCAUGGUCCCCUCUUCACCCCCCUCCUCCUCCUCCUCCUCCUCUUGUUAUACCGGCAUGUCAGAGCCUGUGGGAUGGGGUUCCUCUUGCAUUUACUUUCAGUCUGGAUGCUGCUGCCGCUGCUGCUCCGAUCCACUUGGAUGUCCCUCUUCAUGAAGGAGGGUCCUAUCUUUCCCACUUGAUCGCGCACUUAUUUUUUGGCGAUCCGAAAGCAACUUUAAAGAGUUCAUCCGCAUUUUUAAUCUAAACAACGGAGAGCCGAGAAGAGUUGGCCGUUGUCUUGACCGGUGCAAAGCAUGAAGUUCCUGGAGGCUGCGCGCGUCUCGGUGCUGCUGUUGGUGCUGCUGGUGGGGGAUCACCGCGGAGUGCAGGGGAAAGCGGCUCGGCUGGAGCGCUGGGUGAAAGCUGGACUGCAGUACCUGAAGGUGCACCUGUGCCGCAGGGUGGCUUUACCGGAGAGCGAGUGUCGCAGGCUCGCUCAUCUCCAUCCCAGCGGAAUAGCGGUGUAUACUUCAGAGUCUGGUUCUGGUAAAGUGCUCGCCAUCCUGCCCGACUCGCACCCCGCAUUAAAAGCGAGUCACAGUGCGGGUGCGCUUGCUGCUGAGCGCGGGCUGGAGCGGGAGCGCUUCACCGACGUGAGCGCGCAUGACGCCGUGCUCGUGCUGGACCCGAGUCCCGGAGAGAGCUUCGGCCACCCCGUCCUGCUCUUCUACCUGGACUUUAACAUGGCCAAGAAAAAGUGUGCUCAUAUGGAGGGGAUUUAUUUGGGAGAGGAGUGUAUGACUCUGGCCCUGAAGACUCGCUGUCAGAACCAGCUGAAGCGGAGAAGGAGCCGCAGCGACCGUACGAUGGACCGCACACAGAUUCGGAAGAGUGUGGUGUCCAGAACAAGCCAUACAGAGCGUAGUAAUGGCCUCUGCGAGAUCCACUUCCUGCCCCGAGUGGUGGGAGUGAGGGACAGCAACCGAACGCAGCGCCUCCGCUGUGUAGAUCAUCCAGAGUUUGCUAGAUGCCCCCAGCCUUUGCCCCUCACUAGUCCAAGCAUGCCAAUCUCUAGCUGUGAACUCAAUAAAAACACCCGUCGAUGCCACCAGCAGCCUCUCGCCACACAUCUCUCCUGUCGCCUCUACCAGACCUGUGACCAUGCAGUACUGCUCUCAGGUGGUUGGCAGGAACAGAUCACAUACCAGCAUCAUGAGCAGAAUCUGCUGCUCUUCUACCAGAUGCUAAGAAACAAUGGUUUUCAUAAGGAUCACAUUAAAACAUUCUUUGCUGGAAAUGGACAGGUAGCAGCUAAAGAGACAGAAGGAAUGUAUCCAGCCACAGAAAAGGAGGUAAUCAGGAACCAUAUCUCCUACAUCUGUCGCAAGCAGCACUGUGCAGACACAUUCGUGUUGUACCUGAACAGCCCGACCCGCAACGACGGAACCAUGCUGCUGUGGGACCGCAACAACAACGGCAUUGCAGAUCUAAAGGAGCGCUAUGCAGUAGGUGAGCUGCUGGCUGACCUUGCAGGCUGCAGGGCAAGUCGAGUUCUGCUUUUUGUUGAGCAGAGCUACACCGGAGUUCUCACUAAGAGACUAAAGGGCUCUCUUAAACACCUCAAUGUGGUGCUGCUCAACGGCCUGCCCUGGGUGAACACGGCCCAAUUCUGGGCCUCUCUGCACCCUUCCCACUGCCUCAUCGACCACCUCAGUAAGAAUGCUCUAAUGCCUCAUGUGGGUGAUGGGAUAAGCCUGCUGAACGUGACUUUGUCUGGAGCUCCCUGUAAUUCCACGCCACCUCUUUCAGAGGCUGAGAUGAAGAAGGAGUACAUGGGCUGUCAGAAUCUGCCAACAGCACUGUGGCACCAGGGCAGUCGAAAGGCUCACAACAAUGAGAGAAACUGAGAGACAAUGUUCAUUCUUCCAGUGCGGCCUCAUAAACUUCACUACCGGCAUCUAAUCUCAACUAGAGAAUGCUAGAGAUGCCAAACAUGUCUUUUUGCUCAUCUUAGUUCUUUACUAUGGAUUUUGAUCUUCGGUUGUAACAAUAGAUUCAGGCAGAAUGCUGCUAGACAAGAAUAAAAAAUGUGUGUAUAAAUUGUUGUUGCUCAAGUAGAGGUCAAACUGUCAUUAGAUGGACCCAGUCUAUCCAAAACAAAUGGACUGCGGUAAGAUGGAUGAAAAGAAACAUGCUGUCAUGAAGGCCACAGGAGUAUAUAUGGUUUAAGAGGAAGUGUUAUGUCCUCACUCUGAACCUCAGCCUUCCAUCUGCAGCAUCCCGGUGUUUGGCUCCUCCAGUGUUUUUGUCUACCCACUGUGGGGGUUCAUCCGGCGGGCAGCUGCACUUUUGCAUCUCUCCACAUUCAGAGUGUCCUGGCGCGGGUCAGUGCUCACAUCACAUCCUGGAGAUGAACCAUGGUGACUAUGCCAGUCUGACAUUUCAGGACAAAUCUAUGUUGCCCUUGCAGACAUGAAGGAGCCUAGGCAAUGCCAUCAUUUAGUCAUGAGAACUGUUCCUUCGACAAGCUCUGCCCCUUCCAAGGCCACUUUCCCGCUCUAUUUAAAAGGAGUUCUGGUUUUUCAAGCAGUUUGACCUGUAUCGGCUUUGGCCUGUAGGUGACAGAACACAAACUAGAGGAAGACAUGUAGCUGUCUCACAGGUCUCUGCUGAAAUUUAUGUACAAACUUUCAAAGAUUAAACAAGGUCAAUAUAAGUCAGGAAUAAAAAGAAAAUUAGACAUUUUUAAAAAAGCCCCAGACAAGGCCUGGCAUUAUAGUUCUGAUUAAGCUUGUUUGUGUAUACGGUAUUUAAUAUAAAGGUGUUGUAAGAUCCAAUACCUCAGUUAUCAGUUAUCCCAUACCUUCAUACCUCUUUCCUGUGUACAAACACCCCUUAAACAAUGUUCAGUGCAUGUUGGCUAAAAAAUAGUUUAACAGCGUAUACCCAAGUGUAAAACUCAGCUGAGUCAAGAAAUAUUUUUUUGUAUAGAACAGAAAUGUGUUUAUUCUGUAAAUGUCAUGUUGUGCUAAAUAAAUGAAUUUUAAUGUCACUUAAGAGGAUAUUAAUGUCCUCAUCUCAGUUGUUAAACUGUAGCUUGUGUGACCUUAUGUAAAUACUCAAAAUAAAUUAACUUUUGUACAUAACAUGUAUUUAUUUCAAUGGAGUGUCAAACAAUACAUUUUGAGUUUUAUUACAUCAGCAGCAGUAAAACAACAUGAGUCAACCAAAGUCUAUAUAAACAUGGAUUUUCUUAUAAGUCCAGUCAUUUACUAACUGUGUCCCUUUUCCCCAUUCAUCUCCUUAAAGAAUACUGCUGCUAGAAAGUUUGUGAACCCUAUACAAUUUUCUGUAUUUCUGAACAAAUUUGACCUGAAAUGUGGUUGGAUCUUCAUCGAAAUCCUAAAAUUUGAUCAAGACAACCCAAUUAAACAAAUGAAACAAAAACAUUAGUCUUUACAUUUAUUUAUUGAGCAAAACUGUCCAACAUUAAAUAUCUUUGUUGGAAAAAUUAUGUGAACCUCUGUGAGUAUGAGUUCAUUUAAAGGGGUAAUUGAAGUCAGGUGUUUCAAUCAAGGAGAUAGCAAUCAGAUAUGAGUUUAGCAGUGUCUCAAGAACCAUGUCUCAAGAACAUAAACUUGGGUGUUCACUAUGAAAGUCUGGUCUUCACCACACAGGUUCAUAGCAGUGUGCCAUGCCAGAAUCAAAGUAGAUUCCUGAGGACCUCAGAAAGGGUUCACCAUGCUGGAAAAGGUUACAAAUACAAUUCUAAAGUGUUUGGCCUCCACCAAUCCACUGUGAAGCAAAUGAAAUACAAAUGGAGGAAAAAUCAGCACCACUGUUACUCUCCCAAGGAGUGGUCAUCCAGCAAAAAUCACUCCAAGGGUGCGGUGAAUAAAAUGACAAGAAGUCACAAGGAACCCGAGGGUUACAUCUAAGGACCUACAGACCACUCUUGCAUCGAGUAAUGUCAAUAUUCAUGAGCCCAUCAUCAGGCAAACACUGAACAAGAACGGGGUGCAUUGCAGGAUAGACACUACUCUCCAAAAAGUACACUGCUGCCUGUCUAAAAUUUGUUCAAGACCAUGUCAAUAAGCCAGAAGAUUACUGGAAGAAUGUUCUGUGGACAGACGAAUCCAAAACAAACCAAAACUUUUUUUGGUUUAAAUGAAAAACGCUAUUUUAGCCAAAAACCAAUCAUUAUAUUCCAACAUAAGCACCUCAUCCUAACAGUGAAGUAUGGAGAUGGCAGUACUAUAGUUUGGGGCUGCUUUGCUGCCUCAGGUUCAAGACAGCUUGCUAUUAUUGAUGGACAUAUUGACUUCUGAAUUGUACCAGCAAAUUCUACAAGAGAAUGGCAGGGUAUCUGUCAUAGAAUUACUGUACUGGUCCUAAGUCUACAAAGAAAUGGUUAAAGAAAUUUAACAUGUGUUAGGCUUAGUCAAAUGAACCCUAACCCUAGAAUGGCCAAGUCAAAGUCCAGACCUUAAUCUAAUUGAAAUGUUGUGGAACGACCUAAAAAGAGCAGUUCAUACAAGGAAGCCCACCAGCAUCACUGAGUUGAAGCAGUUUUGUAAGGCGGAAUAGACUAAAAGUCCUCCAAUCCACUGUGCAGUAUUGAAUUGAUCACCAGUUACUGGAAACAUUUGGUUGAAGUUGUUGCUGCUCAUGGGGGUCACACCGGUUACUGAAAACAAAGGUUUGCAUACUUUUUCCAACAAAGAUAUUUGAUGUUGGAUAAUUAU